UUGAGUAUUAGAACUAUGAUAUAAUUUCUGCUAUGAAUCGAAUCUUGAGCUUGUUUGAAGCUGGUAUAAAAGGAUAGCACGAUUAACAAACAUCUGUGUUGAUUAGUCAGUUCAAAUUGAUACCUAUAUGGUCUAUAAAGGAUAAUGCUAGAGUGAAUGACAAAACGACAAGAAUGGAUAGUAAAGGCUAAAGUUAGGCAAGAACCUAAGUUUGGGGGAUGAUAUGUGGGGUAUAUAAGCUUUAUUUUUGUAAAAAAAAAUAUGAAUAAACACCUUGGCGUGCUUGUCUAGUUUUGUGGCCUUUGUUACUUGAGUAAGUAAGCCCGAGGGGAUUGUCUUUACACCUAGCGCCCUAAGGUCUUAAUGGUCUGGGAGUCAUUGGUCGAAAGCUCGUUAAGGUAGCAUUGAAAAGCCUAAGGGAAUAAGACAUUGCAUAGCUAUGUGUAUAAAAAAAAUGGGAAAUAAGAGCAAAAAUCCCCCCGUAUAUAAUAUAUAUAUAUAUAUAUAUGAAUAAAGUAUAAGUACCCCGCUUGAAUCCCCGAGUUAGUGAUUGUUUAGUUUUAGUUGAAAUUGUCUAUUUUUGAAAAAAAAUUUAGUUUGCGAUGUAUGAUUCCUUCUAAGAGAUUGAUUAUGUAUUGAAUUUGAGUCUGUAUCGGUUAGCAUGGAUGUUGAUCACACACACACACUAUACCAGUGAUAAUGGUUUGAGAUUUGUGGAUUAAAAUGGAAUUGUAGAUUAGUUUUUGGUAAUUGAUAUUGUAUAAUUGCUUAUUUUCGCUGAGGCCGUUAAGAUAAUCUUGAUUCUGUGAUAUUGUUGGAUUUGGAAUCAUUUAAGUUAGGUCGUAUUCAUUUCAUCUCAUUGUAUUGCAUAUAGUGUUUUGUGCUCGAGGACUAGCACGGUUUAAGUUUGGGGGAUUUUGAUAAGUGGAUUUUAUAUACGCGAUUCAAUAUCCAUUUCAUGAUUAUUUGUUGCUAAAUUCUUGUGAUCAUGUUCCUUUUUACUUGUUUUAUGUUAUUUCUUGUGUAGGUUGGUUGUUGAGGUAUUUUACGGAUAUGUGGAAUCAAUUGGGAUGAUUUGAGGUUAAUUAGAGCAAAAUUAGAGUACAGCAUGAAAAUCAGCAAAUUCAUUUGGCAGAAGACAUGCCUGCCGGGGCGAGCAUCAUUAGCCUAUACACCCCCGUUGGGGCGGGGGGUCUUAAUCUCCAGUUAGCAGAAGAAUAGCCCGCCGGGGCGGGCCAAAUUACACUAUGUACCCCCGCCGGGGCGGGGGUCUUCAAUUAUGCUAGACAAGAAGGGUGCCAGCCGGGGAGGGCGUUUAUAGAAUAUACACCCCCGCCGGGGCGGGGGGUGUCGAUUCUGAAGUGUCCUGUUAUGUUUGUGAUUCUUUUUGGGCACGAAUCUUAGCUAUUUGUAUGGCAAUGUAACUCUAAUUGAGGAAAAAUUUUGGCUGGGACUUGUGUGUUGGAUAAGAUUUACUCAGUAAACAAAAAUUUGAAAAACAACAGAAGGGAUAUUACGAAUAUCUAAGUUCAGUUUUCAUAGCAAGCGUGGAGGAAUACUUCGGGAGAUUUUUC
This 1574-nucleotide long non-coding RNA is filed under the name Panax ginseng (ginseng). RNAcentral's name for it is "long non-coding RNA (PGIN_LNC015895)". Lineage: Eukaryota; Viridiplantae; Streptophyta; Magnoliopsida; Apiales; Araliaceae. The record is from RNAcentral.